GACGAACGCUGGCGGCGUGCCUAAUACAUGCAAGUAGAACGCUGAAGGAGGAGCUUGCUUCUCUGGAUGAGUUGCGAACGGGUGAGUAACGCGUAGGUAACCUGCCUGGUAGCGGGGGAUAACUAUUGGAAACGAUAGCUAAUACCGCAUAAUAGUAGAUGUUGCAUGACAUUUGCUUAAAAGGUGCAAUUGCAUCACUACCAGAUGGACCUGCGUUGUAUUAGCUAGUUGGUGGGGUAACGGCUCACCAAGGCGACGAUACAUAGCCGACCUGGGAGGGUGAUCGGCCACACUGGGACUGAGACACGGCCCAGACUCCUACGGGAGGCAGCAGUAGGGAAUCUUCGGAAAUGGACGGAAGUCUGACCGAGCAACGCCGCGUGAGUGGAGAAGGUUUUCGGAUCGUAAAGCUCUGUUGUAAGAGAAGAACGAGUGUGAGAGUGGAAAGUUCACACUGUGACGGUAUCUUACCAGAAAGGGACGGCUAACUACGUG
RNAcentral lists this ribosomal RNA (495 nucleotides) under uncultured bacterium. RNAcentral's name for it is "partial 16S ribosomal RNA". It matches the Rfam family "Bacterial small subunit ribosomal RNA", at positions 28 to 507 of the family's 1533-position model. The record is from RNAcentral.